RNAcentral lists this long non-coding RNA (1850 nucleotides) under Homo sapiens (human). RNAcentral describes it as "HSALNT0099235". Lineage: Eukaryota; Metazoa; Chordata; Mammalia; Primates; Hominidae. The record is from RNAcentral.
GCCCCUUCAAUGCUAAGUGUUGAUGUCACACAUUAACUAUAUCUGAAGCCAACAGAUCAGUACCAAAUUUUGGGCCCACCCUGCCAAGGAGAAGCCGUGGCCUCUCCAGGCCCUUUGCAGCUCCUCCCUCCAGCAUGCAAGCUGGUGCUGGAGGGGCCCUUUCCCUCAGGAGAUCCGGUGCCCCUGCCUGGGAGCCCACACACCUACUGUGCAUGGUGGGAUCUAGAAGUCCCUGCACAGCUCCCUUGGCUCCAGCUCUGCUUCUGUGAUGUGAAUUCCAGCCUUAAUUAGACAGCAGGAGCCUUUCGUACCCAUUUCUGCUCUUUCUCCAAAGUACAGGUGGCUGGGCAACAGCUAUGUGGAGAGAUUUUUUUUCAGGUCUUUGCUCUGUUCCUCUUUUCAGAAGGGAGAAAAAACAGUGGGGGGAAAAGAUGUUUUCUCACUUAAUAGAAGCUGGUGAGAGGCAGUCUAUUAGUAAGGAAUUUGGGGCUUUUUAGAUUUGAAUUUUGGGUCAUUCUUCCUUCUGAUCAUGUCAAUUGGUGAGUUCAUUUCUUCUGCGAAAACAGAUUAGCCUUCGAGCUUCCUGAGAACUGAGACAACGAGGUCCCCUCCAUCUUUGAGUCAGCCUGGCCUCGGGGACAGAGGAUGGAUUUUGGAGUCGGACAAGCCCCGGCUGAGGCUCCCUUCAGUCAUGACCUUCCAAGACGAGAAGCUUCACGGCAGGCAAUGAACAGAGACGGCGUCAUCUCCAAGGCUCAGUGGAGCGAGUCACGUCACCCUCACUUAGCUGCAUGGGUAAGUAAGCCCAGGCCUAGGGAGCUAGCGAGGGGCGGGGCCUGAAUUUGAACUCCAGCGGGCUGGCUGCAGGCCCUGCUGCCUCAGGACCCCCACCACAGGGAAGCUCACAGCCUCUCAGCAUCUAGCCCAACCAGGCCAGUCAAGAGGUUGGCAAAUUCUAAAAACCCCCGAUCACCAGCUGGUCUGGUCCCUCAGGCCUGGCUGUUCUCAGUCUGCCCCCUGGCUGUCCCCGGGGCCUCCCCAGCAGGGCCUCCAAAGGCACCCCUCCCACGCUUCACACCUGCCUGGGGUGCCUCUUUUCUCCUUGAAUUUAACUACAUCCAACAUCUCCUGAGCUGUUUGUGUGUGCUGGGCAGUGCACUAGGCUCUACAAAGAUAAGUUAGAAACAGUCCCUGUGGCAGGGAACUCACAACUUAGUCUUGGAGAACACAAUCUUGAACCCAGAGAAAGCAUGGCAAAUGUCUGCAAACACAUUCAGGGGGUCCGAGGGACUGACGAGGUAAGCACAGCCCGUGGGUUCCAUGCUUCAGAGCCUGGGGAGCACUGCCGCUGUGGAGGCGUCUGCACCACACGCUCGACAUUUCAUUCCAACCCUCACAACCGUCCUCCAAGAGAGCCAUUAUCGCUCCCACUUUUUGCAGAUGAGAAAAUCAAAUUACAGCCUGGUGACUUUGACCAUGGCCAUGCAGCUAGCCAUGGGCAGUGCCAAAUUUCAAAUACAUGUUCAUCUGGAUCCAUGUCAGCCUGAUUCCCACCAUUCCAGAUCCUCCCCUCAGUGCAGCCCAACCCUCUUUCAGAGCUGACGUCUCUGUAACCACCCAGCUCCUAAGUGGAGGGUUCAGGUUCAGGCUCAGGUGCCCCGUCCCCAAGCCUGCUCUUAGACCUGGCACAGAGCUGUUUAAGAGUAACUGGCCAAGGCUCUGGUGAAUGUGAGCCUCUGGGAGGUCCUGAAGAGGACAAAUGAAGGGUGUUUAUGUGGAAAGGAAGGAGAGAACUUCAUGGGCUGCGGUGAGGACAGGAAGACUCAGGCUUGCCUGGGAAACAGCAUCUG